CAAAGCCCUCUUGGAAGGAUAAGUUUACAAAACAAAUUUAAAAAUAGUGAUUUUCAAGGAUUUGGCCAGAUCAUGAUUUUUUUUUUUUUUCAGAAGUCCGAAGAACUAAGUUCAAAACUUUUGAAAAUGUAGAGUUCUCAAGAGUUUGAGAGAGCCUUACUGGGAGAAUGCAGCCGGGCUGGGCAGAAUGCAGCCGGGCUGGGCAGAAUGCAAUCCCCAGCAAACUUGUGGUGCUGACAUAAAGAAGCGUCUCAAAAUGCUCAACUCAAACCUCUGAAGCAUGGAAGGAAACCUAUCAAGCUCUCUGUCAAAACUCCAUAAAGAUCCAGAAUAAAUAAAGAAUGCUUACAAUUCAACAAUGUAAAGACAAAUAACAAAUAAGUGGGCGAAUGAUUUCAAUAGACUUUUCCCAAAAAAAGUUGCAUGACAAAGAAUAAGCUCGUGAAAGGGUGCUCAACAUUGUUAAUCAUUAGGGAGACGCAAUGCAAAAACAGAAAGAUGGAUGGAAACUUUUCACCCACUAAAAUGCAUGCAACAAAAAAGACAGAUAACAGGUAUAAUGAUGUAGAAAAACUGGAACCUUAUGUUACUGGUGGGAAUGUAAAGUGGUACAGAGGCUUUGGAAAAUAAUCUGGCAGUUCCUCAAAUGAUAUAACAUAGAAGACAGCAAUUCUACACCUAGAUAUGUACCCAAGAAAAAUGAAAACAUUUCUAAACAAAGAUGCGUACGUGGAUAUUGAUAGCUACAUUAUUCCUUAUGGCCCAAAGUGGCAACAAUCUAAAUGCCCAUCAACUGAUGAAUGAAUAAAGAAAAUGUGUUAUAUCUAUACAAUGGAAUAUAAAGAAAUGAAGUACUGUUCCAUGCUACUACACAGAUGAUCCCUGAAAACAUUAUGUAAAAUAAAAGCCAGUCACAGAGGAUAACAUGUUGAGUGAUUUCAUUUAUAAAAACAUACGUAAUAGGAAAAUCCAUAACAUCAGAAAUUUACAAAUUACUAUUGGCAGGAGUGGAGCAUAGGAUAGGGUGGGAAAUGGGAAGUAACUG
RNAcentral lists this long non-coding RNA (1045 nucleotides) under Homo sapiens (human). RNAcentral describes it as "HSALNT0325673". The record is from RNAcentral. Lineage: Eukaryota; Metazoa; Chordata; Mammalia; Primates; Hominidae.